Molecule: ribosomal RNA, 218 nt
Filed under: Edwardsia sp.
Lineage: Eukaryota; Metazoa; Cnidaria; Anthozoa; Actiniaria; Edwardsiidae
Description: partial 28S ribosomal RNA
Rfam family: Eukaryotic large subunit ribosomal RNA
Source: RNAcentral
UAAUAAGCGGAGGAAAAGAAACUAACAAGGAUUCCCUCAGUAACGGCGAGUGAAGCGGAAGAGCUCAAAUUUGAAAUCUCCGUUUGCCUCGACGGCAGCUUGUAAUCUGGAGAGGCGCUUUCUCGGCGCGCCGGGCCCGCACAAGUUGCUUGGAACAGUGCGUCGCGGAGGGUGACAACCCGUCUAUGGCCGGCCCGGCCCUCACGAUGCGCUUUCGA